CUCAGUUCUCAACCUUCUCCGGUAUUCUGCAAACUGUGAAUGCCUCCUUGUGUUGGAUUCAUGAUGUUCACCAUACUGCACGGCCUACUUUUUUUCUUCGCAAGCUAUGGAAAGAAACUCUGUUCAGCUCAUGAAACGGACUGUUCACAUUUUUUGACAUUUGUGGAGGAAGCAGGGUAUCCUGGUAAUUUUAUUUUGCAGCUACUAUGCUCUCGUCAUAGAUACCUUGCAUCCUACUCAGUGAGUACAUUAUACGAUUUUGAUUUCCAGUAUCUGAUGGACAUUUUGACUCCCAUGUUGAAAUAUGAUUAUUUUAUCAUAUUUUCUCAUUACAACCUACAAUUUGUAUAUAUAGGCCCAACAAAGAGAGAAAUCUGAACUGACAAAGCUGCUCUAUAUGCAUCACAGGUCGAUAUUGUUGACCUUCACAAAUGACUUCAGUCAGUCAGUUUCAGUUGUACAUUUAGAUAAUUCCAAACAUUGAUGUCAACACACUGCUGUUCUUGUACCUAAUAAUAACUUUGAGUUAGUCAUGGCAAAAUGUGUGCAAAAUAUGUGAUGGUUGACUUCAGAGUAAACACUCAUUUUUGACAAAACCCUUCACAUUGAACUUGUAGUAGAGUUGUUUGCAUUAAUUGAACAGGCCAUCUUUGUUUUUUUGUAUGUGAAGGUCAUUAACAAGGAAUAAAAUGAUUGUUUUCAUAUUAAA
Molecule: long non-coding RNA, 709 nt
Organism: Sardina pilchardus (European sardine)
Lineage: Eukaryota; Metazoa; Chordata; Actinopteri; Clupeiformes; Clupeidae
Exons: 2
Source: RefSeq, a predicted model, not a curated record